This 774-nucleotide ribosomal RNA is filed under the name uncultured Neocallimastigales. Its description in RNAcentral is "partial large subunit ribosomal RNA". It matches the Rfam family "Eukaryotic large subunit ribosomal RNA", at positions 24 to 635 of the family's 3401-position model. Lineage: Eukaryota; Fungi; Neocallimastigomycota; Neocallimastigomycetes; Neocallimastigales. The record is from RNAcentral.
UAUGUGAUCGUCUCUCGCAUAUCAAUAAGCGGAGGAAAAGAAACUAACAAGGAUUCCCCUAGUGACGGCGAGUGAAGCGGGAAGAGCUCAAAUUUGAAAUCUUAAAGGGUUUCCCUUUACGAAUUGUAGUUUAAAGAAGUGUUUUCUGUUGGGGUUUUGGUAAAAGUUCUUUGGAAUAGGACAUCAUAGAGGGUGAGAAUCCCGUAUUUGACCUUUACUUUCAACUUUGUGAUACACUUUCAAAGAGUCGGAUUGUUUGGGAAUGCAGUCCAAAAUGGGUGGUAAAUUCCAUCUAAAGCUAAAUAUUGGCGAGAGACCGAUAGCGAACAAGUACCGUGAGGGAAAGAUGAAAAGAACUUUGAAAAGAGAGUUAAACAGUACGUGAAAUUGUCAAAAGGGAAGCGUUUGACACCAGUGUUGUUUUUCUGAAAAUCAAUUAAAGAACUGUUUAUGCUAAGCUGUUUAGACUUUAUCAGCUAUCUGUUUAGUUUUGAGCUUUUCUUUAAUGCACUUUUCAGUUAACAAGUCAACAUCAAUUUCUUUUACUGUAAAAAAGCUUGAGGAAGGUGGCUUGAGAUUCGUCUUAAGUGUUUAUAGCCUCUUGCCUAUGCAGUCGGAGAGAUUGAGGUCUGCAGCGUAGAUCCUUCGGGGCUAAAUGCAUUUGUGCUAAGUUAUAGCAUUUUAUAGACAACUUGUUGACUAUGAUUUGUCUUGUAGCUUACUCGCUUAUGUUAUUUUACCUACGCUUAGGAUGUUGAUCUACAGAGCGAGAGU